GCCGGGCAUGGUGGCACAUGCCUGUAAUCUCAGCAACUUGAGAGGCCAAAGCAGGAGGAUUCCAAGUUCAAGGCUAGCCUGGGCAAUUUGUGAGACCCUGUCUUAC
RNAcentral lists this small RNA (106 nucleotides) under Marmota monax (woodchuck). Lineage: Eukaryota; Metazoa; Chordata; Mammalia; Rodentia; Sciuridae. The record is from RNAcentral.